Molecule: ribosomal RNA, 235 nt
Filed under: uncultured bacterium
Lineage: Bacteria
Description: partial 16S ribosomal RNA
Rfam family: Bacterial small subunit ribosomal RNA
Source: RNAcentral
CGGGACGGGGUGGAGUAAUGUCUGGGAAACUGCCUGAUGGAGGGGGAUAACUACUGGAAACGGUAGCUAAUACCGCAUAACGUCGCAAGACCAAAGUGGGGGACCUUCGGGCCUCUUGCCAUCGGAUGUGCCCAGAUGGGAUUAGCUAGUAGGUGGGGUAACGGCUCACCUAGGCGACGAUCCCUAGCUGGUCUGAGAGGAUGACCAGCCACACUGGAACUGAGACACGGUCCAG